CCUCACCUGGACGCGGGAACACUGCCGUGGAGGAGGAGGAGGAGAUGGAGUUCCUGUACGAUUGUGGCGCCACUGCCGUCGUCGCGGAUGUGGCAGCCGCGCUCGCGAGCACCGGCGGUAUCCAGGCGUCCUCUCCCUCUGUCGUCGCCUCCGAGAGAGGUACCGGAACGGCGAGCUGAAGAGGGCUCUUUCCGAGGCUGAAGCCUACGCCUUCAAGCUUUCUAGAAGAUGGCAUUAGGCAGUGUUCUUUCCGAUGGAGACAACUUCUGAUGCUACCUAGAUUGGCCGAUCUACUUUUUUUAUCAGCGACGCUACUAUCUAUUUCAUGAGGAUGCACUUGGCAGAUCUGUAAGAUCGCAAUGUUCAGCCUGGCUUCUAUCUUUGAUCUGCUAUGUAAUAGUUUUUUCGUUGGUAUAAAACUGCAAGUUAUCCGAAUUGUGCUGCUAAAACAAAGUUCUCGAUAUAAGUUACCUAUAAUCAUCCGGCGUGGCUUAUAUAAUAUUUUGAUAGUAUGACUCAUGGCACAGUGGAUCUAAUACUUCUGUUUGGAAAAGAAGCAAUAGAGAAAAUUAAUUUGCUAGAUUUGAAAAGCACAACCCGGUAUUUAGUGU
Triticum dicoccoides is the source of this 611-nucleotide long non-coding RNA. RefSeq lists it as uncharacterized. NCBI's taxonomy places the organism in Eukaryota, Viridiplantae, Streptophyta, Magnoliopsida, Poales, Poaceae. The record is from RefSeq and is a predicted model, not a curated record. The transcript is spliced from 3 exons.